Long non-coding RNA from Mauremys reevesii (Reeves's turtle), 1757 nucleotides. RefSeq lists it as uncharacterized. NCBI's taxonomy places the organism in Eukaryota, Metazoa, Chordata, Testudines, Geoemydidae. The record is from RefSeq and is a predicted model, not a curated record. The transcript is spliced from 5 exons.
UGUCCUGGGGAGAGAAAUGACCAAUGAGAAGGGAGCUCAAGCUGGGGCCACAGGCUUGGAAUCUGUCUGAAGGGGCAGUUAGAAAAAGCAGUUAGAGGAGGUGAAGAAUUGAGAUGCUGAGCUAGCGGAUGAACCAGAGCCUGGGUAGGAGGUGAGGGGAUACAAUAAAAGAACAGGAGGAUAAAAGUAGGGGACUGGGAAGUGAGAAGGAGGAAAGAAGGUAAAUAGAAAAGAUUUCAGGUCAGGAUAAGCCAAAAAAAAAAAAUACCUGGAUACAUGAGCAGACACUGUUAGAGAAGAAGAGGGAAAUAAAAUCUUAAGACUUACCACAGUCUGAGCCUCGAGAAAAAACUGAAAGGAAACAGAAUUGGUGAAAAAGGUAAUUGAUCAAAAAAUUGGGUUAGAUGCAAACAUCCUGGAAGCAAUAAUGAGAACCUCCCCUCCCCAACAAAGUACCUAAAGUACAUGAACAGAGAGAAUUACUGAACAUCUGUUGAUGGAAUACAGUUCAAAGGUGACUAAUGGACAAGUGAGAACCCAAUAGGUGAAGAAACCCCAUUUGUGGAUAAACUCAGUGAAAAGAGGUACAGCCACAAGAACACUGAAUCUAGGGAGCUCUUCAAGCUGAAUAGAAGCAAAGAACAGGAUAGCAAGAGUGGAGUUGGACUUAGAGCGAAGGAGAGGAAAAGCAGGCAUAGCCAGAAGUCUUCUCUUAUCAAUGUAAAAUGGAGAGCUGUCGAGAAGAAAUAUGCAAGAGGUUCCCCAAGUGGGGAAACACAUGUGCCUGAAACUCAGUCAUACUUGCAGGGUGAUAAGCUGUUGGUACAUGGGAUGGUGUACUCAGCUCCUGGUCUGAGAAUGGAAGAAUUGCAGGAUUCCAUCCCGAGACAAGUGGACAUGAUUACUGAUGGCUUGGAACAGGAGCUGUGGAGAAUAGAUGCGGUGGCACCUGAUUGGUACCUAAUCCUUCUUUUGCAAUGUGAUGGAUAUUGCAGAGUUUGGAGACGAUGAGUGGCAGCAGCAGCAGAACUGUGUCCAACUUAGGGAUCUGUAGAGCUGUUUCCAGAAUUUCCAAGCCAUUCUGUCUUCAGUUUAUCCUGCGAAGUCUGCAGCUGGGGUCCCUGGAAAAGCUAUUGAAAAACAAAGCUGGCCCUGGUGUCUACUAUAAAAUUUGGUUCUGUUCAGAUUAAUUCUCAAUUCUAGACAUUCAAAACCAAAUCGUUUAAAAGCCAUUUAUCUGCAAUAUGAUUAAAUGACAAAAUUCCUUGGCAAGGUACAGAUCUUCCUGUCAUACCUAGUAUACUUUAACUACCACUUUUACAGUACAUACAGUACCAUAUUUAUUACAUUUGGUCCUUCUUAUUUUCCAUUUCUUCCCUUGCAGUCCUAGUCCCAUAAACCAGCCUUCUCUUUCUUAGUGGAGUGGCCUGUCAGUAUUGAUUAGGAGAGCUCCACUUUGAACAACUCAGCGAUACCUGUCGUGACAUUUCUUCAUUGUAUUAUUACACGCGUACACACACACACACACACACACACCAGCUGAACCUUGCUCUUGGUCCUUAUACAUUUGUGGUAGAUUCAUGUUGACCUGGGGUCAAAUCCAUCCCUGGUGUAACUUCACUGGCUUUUUAAAAUUAUUUGUUUAACAACAACCAUGUCCUUGGAAAUAAAAAGAAAGCCCCUGACCUGAAGAGUUUAUGUACCGCACUGUUCAGGGUGUGUUGUGUGUCUCACGCUGUGCCUGAUGCACAGAGCAU